GCCUGGGUGGCUCAGUCGGUUAAGCAUCUGACUUCAGCUCAGGUCAUGAUCUCGCGGUCCGUGAGUUCAAGCCCCGCGUCAGGCU
RNAcentral lists this transfer RNA (85 nucleotides) under Felis catus (domestic cat). It matches the Rfam family "tRNA". From Rfam's summary of the family: Transfer RNA (tRNA) molecules are approximately 80 nucleotides in length. Their secondary structure includes four short double-helical elements and three loops (D, anti-codon, and T loops). The record is from Rfam by way of RNAcentral. Lineage: Eukaryota; Metazoa; Chordata; Mammalia; Carnivora; Felidae. RNAcentral also lists the same sequence under 2 other names.